ACGCUGCGGCAGCUACACAUGCAAGUCGAGCGUAGAGAGAAGCUGCUCUCUUGAGAGCGGCGGACGGGUGAGUAAAGCCUAGGAAUCUGCCUGGUAGUGGGGGAUAACGUUCGGAAACGGACGCUAAUACCGCAUACGUCUACGGGAGAAAGCAGGGGACCUUCGGGCCUUGCGCUAUCAGAUGAGCCUAGGUCGGAUUAGCUAGUUGGUGAGGUAAUGGCUCACCAAGGCGACGAUCCGUAACUGGUCUGAGAGGAUGAUCAGUCACACUGGAACUGAGACACGGUCCAGACUCCUACGGGAGGCAGCAGUGGGGAAUAUUGGACAAUGGGCGAAAGCCUGAUCCAGCCAUGCCGCGUGUGUGAAGAAGGUCUUCGGAUUGUAAAGCACUUUAAGUUGGGAGGAAGGGCAUUAACCUAAUACGUUAGUGUUUUGACGUUACCGACAGAAUAAGCACCGGCUAACUCUGUGCCAGCAGCCGCGGUAAUACAGAGGGUGCAAGCGUUAAUCGGAAUUACUGGGCGUAAAGCGCGCGUAGGUGGUUUGUUAAGUUGGAUGUGAAAUCCCCGGGCUCAACCUGGGAACUGCAUUCAAAACUGACUGACUAGAGUAUGGUAGAGGGUGGUGGAAUUUCCUGUGUAGCGGUGAAAUGCGUAGAUAUAGGAAGGAACACCAGUGGCGAAGGCGACCACCUGGACUAAUACUGACACUGAGGUGCGAAAGCGUGGGGAGCAAACAGGAUUAGAUACCCUGGUAGUCCACGCCGUAAACGAUGUCAACUAGCCGUUGGGAGCCUUGAGCUCUUAGUGGCGCAGCUAACG
This 821-nucleotide ribosomal RNA is filed under the name uncultured bacterium. RNAcentral's name for it is "bacterial SSU rRNA". It matches the Rfam family "Bacterial small subunit ribosomal RNA", at positions 33 to 857 of the family's 1533-position model. The record is from RNAcentral.